GCGAGUGUAGCUCAGCUGGUUAGAGCGCACGCCUGAUAAGCGUGAGGUC
This 49-nucleotide transfer RNA is filed under the name Deinococcus radiodurans. RNAcentral's name for it is "tRNA-Ile". It matches the Rfam family "tRNA", at positions 1 to 46 of the family's 71-position model. From Rfam's summary of the family: Transfer RNA (tRNA) molecules are approximately 80 nucleotides in length. Their secondary structure includes four short double-helical elements and three loops (D, anti-codon, and T loops). Further hydrogen bonds mediate the characteristic L-shaped molecular structure. tRNAs have two regions of fundamental functional importance: the anti-codon, which is responsible for specific mRNA codon recognition, and the 3' end, to which the tRNAs corresponding amino acid is attached (by aminoacyl-tRNA synthetases). tRNAs cope with the degeneracy of the genetic code in two manners: having more than one tRNA (with a specific anti-codon) for a particular amino acid; and 'wobble' base-pairing, i.e. permitting non-standard base-pairing at the 3rd anti-codon position. The record is from RNAcentral. Lineage: Bacteria; Thermotogati; Deinococcota; Deinococci; Deinococcales; Deinococcaceae.